This 74-nucleotide transfer RNA is filed under the name Acidimicrobiales bacterium. RNAcentral's name for it is "tRNA-Ala". It matches the Rfam family "tRNA". From Rfam's summary of the family: Transfer RNA (tRNA) molecules are approximately 80 nucleotides in length. Their secondary structure includes four short double-helical elements and three loops (D, anti-codon, and T loops). RNAcentral also lists the same sequence under 2 other names. The record is from RNAcentral. Lineage: Bacteria; Bacillati; Actinomycetota; Acidimicrobiia; Acidimicrobiales.
GGGGAUGUAGCUCAGUUGGCUAGAGCACCUGCUUUGCAAGCAGGGGGUCGUGGGUUCGAGUCCCAUCAUCUCCA